RNAcentral lists this ribosomal RNA (773 nucleotides) under uncultured Neocallimastigales. RNAcentral describes it as "partial large subunit ribosomal RNA". It matches the Rfam family "Eukaryotic large subunit ribosomal RNA", at positions 23 to 615 of the family's 3401-position model. The record is from RNAcentral. Lineage: Eukaryota; Fungi; Neocallimastigomycota; Neocallimastigomycetes; Neocallimastigales.
GAGACUCUGUGCGCGUGCAUAUCAAUAAGCGGAGGAAAAGAAACUAACUAGGAUUCCCUUAGUAACGGCGAGUGAAGCGGGAAGAGCUCAAAUUUGAAAUCUUCAAGGUUCUACCUUGACGAAUUGUAGUUUAUAGAAGUGUUUUCUGUUAGUGGAGUGGCAAAAGUUCUUUGGAAUAGGACAUCAUAGAGGGUGAGAAUCCCGUAUUUGGUCAUUCCUCCUAGCGUUGUGAUACACUUUCAACGAGUCGGAUUGUUUGGGAAUGCAGUCCAAAAUGGGUGGUAAAUUUCAUCUAAAGCUAAAUAUUGGCGAGAGACCGAUAGCGAACAAGUACCGUGAGGGAAAGAUGAAAAGAACUUUGAAAAGAGAGUUAAACAGUACGUGAAAUAGUCAAAAGGGAAGCGUUUGACACCAGUGUUGUUUUCUCGAAAAUCAAUUAAAAAUGAUGGGAUUUUGUGUUGUAUUGACUUUAUCAGCUUUCUGCACUUUUUUCCUAUCUUUUUUAAUGCACUUUUCGUUUAACAAGUCAACAUCAAUUUCUUUUGCUGUAAAAGAGUCAUUGGAAGGUGGCUUUCUUUUCGGAGAAAGUGUUUAUAGCCUUUGACUUCUGCAGUCGGAGAGAUUGAGGUCUGCAGCGUAGAUCCUUCGGGGUUAGAUACGUUUGUGCUAAGUUAUAGCUUUUCAUAGACAACUUGUUGACUAUGUUUAGUCUUGUAGCUUACUCGCUGACGCUAUUUUACCUACGCUUAGGAUGUUGAACUCUAUCACACACA